AAGGUCCCAAGGGUUUGGCUGUUCGCCAAUUAAAAAGAUACGCGAGCUGGGUUCAAACCGUUCAGGUUAUGAUCAGUUGUGUCUUGUAUGUGAAAAAUUAAGUUUACUUAAUUUUUCACAUACAAGACAUGACAGGUUAUCACGACUUGAACCCGUUUGAGCCCGAGGUGAUUCCACUGUUGAGACAUUUGGAAUCAAAAAGACAUCAUCACGGCGACACAAGUAAGUAAUUACUUGUUGUACCACCAACUAAUAUCGGUGAAAUCCUGAUGCACAGGACAAUACCGAGGGAAUUUGCUAAAGCAAAGCCCGUAGAGACUACAUGUUGGUCUCCCACUACGCUCACUUGAGCUAUAUGGGAUGAAGAUAUAGUCCGAUCCCUCUAGUAAUAGAGGUUCAUAUAAAACAAAUAAACGCGGUUUUAUAUGAAGUAAAACAUAGAUGCGUGAGACAGGUUGGUCUCCUAUCUACUGCAGGCGUUCGAUUUUUGAGAAGAUUUGCUCCUAGUACGAGAGGACCGGAGUGAACUGACCUCUGGUGUACCUGCUCUCUUGCCAAAGGGACCGCAGGGUAGCUAUGUUGGGAAUGGAUAACCUCUGAAAGCAUCUAAGAGGGAAGCCAACUUCAAGAUUAGAAAUCGUUGAGGGACCAGAGAGAUGAUCUGGUUGAUAGGCUCUAGGUGUAAGUGCAGCAAUGUAUUUAGCCAAGGAGUACUAAUGACCCGAAUCUUACUAGGAA
RNAcentral lists this ribosomal RNA (738 nucleotides) under Candidatus Nomurabacteria bacterium. RNAcentral's name for it is "partial 23S ribosomal RNA". It matches the Rfam family "Bacterial large subunit ribosomal RNA", at positions 2559 to 2925 of the family's 2925-position model. Lineage: Bacteria; Candidatus Nomuraibacteriota. The record is from RNAcentral.